GGUCUGUUGGUAUUCCCCUUCAGUAUGUUUAAGCUUACAGGAAAUAAACAGAAACGUUUUGUGUCUCUAUGCACAAAGAAGUGGACAGAACACUGAGUCACCGGUUUGUCAUCUGUGAAUGUGGUCCAGGAGGAUUUGAGCCAUGAACGUUCCAAAGUGUCCCAUUUGUCAGCAGUCUGAUAUUGGCAUUCCGGAUGGUCAGCGCGCAGUCUGCAGGUCUUGCUCUAAAUCGAAGCGGUGCGUGUUUCAGUUUUGCUUGGCAUGUCAGAGAGAAUGGCCACGCGACUCUUCGACCACCGAAUCCUGCAUGCUGCCGAACUGUGCGCUCCGUUCUGCUCUCCUCAGCGACACAAAAAUCAGUGACCCACAAAGCUCGGUGAGAGGAUGUCCAUACUUCAGGGCCUGUCCAGGUUGCAAGGCCCUGCUUACACACAAAGGAACAGGCUGUCCCAACAUCGUCUGCCCUCAUUGUGGUAGACACAUCUGCUUCCGCUGCCUGCGUGAAAGGUGCUUCGGGGAAAUAAAUAUUGGAGCCUUUGCGCUUCUUACCCAUAGACUGUCCUUCUUUCAAGAUGAUGUAAGUCCAUGUAGAGUGGUGGACAACAAGCAGAGUCUCACAGUUUUGGGACUGUAACGAGAAAGUUUUGAACACAAAAAAGGCGAAUGACAACGCUGAAAUCUUACGUAAUGAAAAACACCCAGUUAAGGCCUAUCCUAUGUGAUUUAUUAAGGAAUACUGUAAACAUGUUAUUGUAAAAUGUGCUAUUCUUGUACAUGUUUAGAAA
This is a long non-coding RNA of Rhinichthys klamathensis goyatoka, 785 nucleotides long. RefSeq lists it as uncharacterized. The transcript is spliced from 3 exons. Lineage: Eukaryota; Metazoa; Chordata; Actinopteri; Cypriniformes; Leuciscidae. The record is from RefSeq and is a predicted model, not a curated record.